AAAAAAGCCAGUGUUUCACCAUGGCUUAGAAAAUGGGCGCUUGCUGCUGACAGGGUUGUCUAAGCCACUCGGUGAUGGCAAUAAUAGCCUUUGUGCGUCACUCUGUAAGGUCAGGGGACGCUGAAAUUAUCUUAAAGUCAAAGGUCAAAUGGUGUAUCUAAAAUUCUAAACAUUUAUUACCACAAGCCAAACCUUUUUGGAUUCUUCAUGGUCAACUAAGUGUAAAAUUCAUGCUACCAAAGUACAAAGUAAGAACUUGUGUUUCUGAUAGUUCUUUCCCAACACUCAGAUGGACUGUUUCAUUCGUCAGUAAAAGGAUGCAGGUUAGUUGCAAAAACAAACACCCCCAGAGGAUGUGAAGUCAUUCUCUAUAAAGACUUGAAAAUCAAGUUCUUUACAGAAAAGAAUUUGCCACCUCCCGAUCAAGAACUGUGAAGAGUCGAAGAUUCUAUUUUCCUUGCAAGCUGAUUGAUUAGUUUGCAAGUUUCAUGAAUGCUGACACAGAGACAACACACCUGGAUCAACAAUGAGGGGUUUUAUUACUGAAAGCAGUCACCAGACUGUCAACACAGGUGAACUGGUCUCCUGAGCCCCAGUUCCAACAGGCUGGAGUGCAGUGCCACGAUCUCAGCUCACUGAAGCACUGAUCUCCCAGGCUCAAGCAAUCGUCCCAGCUCAGCCCCAUGGAAGUAGCUGAGACUACAGGUGCCCCUGGUGAUACGUGUUUGCAAGUCAUUGACACAAGUGAAGUUUCCACCAAGAUUCAGCUGAGACCUUGCUGUUGCAGGCUAAGAUCCUCAGCCCUCUGGUGUGGCCUUCACAUCUGGCAUCUUGUGUCUUCUCCUGAUCAGGGCCCCCAGGCACACAAUGAGGAGGAAUGAGGUGUCCUGGCAUCCUUCCAUCAUCUGAUCAGACUUGUAUUGUUCCUUGACGGAACUGCUGGCUAGCUGCUAGCAGUUCCUUUUAUGGUCUGUCUGCUUAUCUAGUUGUUGAUUAGAGGAAAUGUCUACAAGAAGAUACCAGGCAGAGGCCCUAUGAUUCUAUCCGUUUGCUGGCCCUGGGGGCUGGGAAGUUCACAAGGUCUCUUCAGACCAUUGAACCAACUUUGUCUUGACUCUCCAUUAAAAAUUAUACACAGAUACCCUCCUUAGUUUGUC
Molecule: non-coding RNA, 1157 nt
Organism: Callithrix jacchus (white-tufted-ear marmoset)
Lineage: Eukaryota; Metazoa; Chordata; Mammalia; Primates; Cebidae
Source: RefSeq, a predicted model, not a curated record